AUAAUAUUUUAAUUUCUGUAAUGUCACUGUUUUUCUUUUUCUUCCUCUCAGCUGUGCAUCGUGUUUUUCCUUUCAUAGCUAAUCCACAAGGGUUUUAACCAUGUACUGCAGAGAUACUAUGUAGAGCUAUUUCGUGACCUGCUACGUGACAAGGGGCCCACAAUGAAGACACUGUUUUCUGAGCUGUUUCAGUGCUAAUUCCAUACAGAUGUGCAAGAGAUGAGGCAAAGAUGCUUGUGUUUGAAUUUCUGCUAAAAGGUGCCUUUUCCCAGGUGGCUGCCAUCAGCUUGCCCUUCAUGGAGCAUUGUCUUAUGGGAUUGUGGAAAAAGAGAGGCAAACAGCUUGCUCUGAAGCACCCAGGG
Molecule: long non-coding RNA, 362 nt
Filed under: Anas platyrhynchos platyrhynchos (common mallard)
Lineage: Eukaryota; Metazoa; Chordata; Aves; Anseriformes; Anatidae
Description: lncRNA (ENSAPLG00000025515.1)
Source: RNAcentral